GAGGGUAUUGCUCAGUGGUAGAGUGUGUGCUUAGCAGGCAUGAGGUCCUGGGUUCAAUCCUCAGUACCUCUG
This 72-nucleotide transfer RNA is filed under the name Camelus bactrianus (Bactrian camel). It matches the Rfam family "tRNA". Rfam says of the family: Transfer RNA (tRNA) molecules are approximately 80 nucleotides in length. Their secondary structure includes four short double-helical elements and three loops (D, anti-codon, and T loops). Further hydrogen bonds mediate the characteristic L-shaped molecular structure. tRNAs have two regions of fundamental functional importance: the anti-codon, which is responsible for specific mRNA codon recognition, and the 3' end, to which the tRNAs corresponding amino acid is attached (by aminoacyl-tRNA synthetases). tRNAs cope with the degeneracy of the genetic code in two manners: having more than one tRNA (with a specific anti-codon) for a particular amino acid; and 'wobble' base-pairing, i.e. permitting non-standard base-pairing at the 3rd anti-codon position. Lineage: Eukaryota; Metazoa; Chordata; Mammalia; Artiodactyla; Camelidae. The record is from Rfam by way of RNAcentral. RNAcentral also lists the same sequence under 2 other names.